RNAcentral lists this ribosomal RNA (1493 nucleotides) under Exophiala yunnanensis. RNAcentral's name for it is "SSU rRNA". It matches the Rfam family "Eukaryotic small subunit ribosomal RNA", at positions 73 to 1561 of the family's 1831-position model. The record is from RNAcentral. Lineage: Eukaryota; Fungi; Ascomycota; Eurotiomycetes; Chaetothyriales; Herpotrichiellaceae.
AUCAUACUGUGAAACUGCGAAUGGCUCAUUAAAUCAGUUAUCGUUUAUUUGAUAGUACCUUUACCUGGAUAACCGUGGUAAUUCUAGAGCUAAUACAUGCUAAAAACCUCGACUUCGGAAGGGGUGUAUUUAUUAGAUAAAAAACCAAUGCCCUUCGGGGCUCUUUGGUGAUUCAUAAUAACUUAACGAAUCGCAUGGCCUUGCGCCGGCGAUGGUUCAUUCAAAUUUCUGCCCUAUCAACUUUCGAUGGUAGGAUAGUGGCCUACCAUGGUCUCAACGGGUAACGGGGAAUUAGGGUUCUAUUCCGGAGAGGGAGCCUGAGAAACGGCUACCACAUCCAAGGAAGGCAGCAGGCGCGCAAAUUACCCAAUCCCAAUUCGGGGAGGUAGUGACAAUAAAUACUGAUACGGGGCUCUUUCGGGUCUCGUAAUUGGAAUGAGUACAAUCUAAAUCCCUUAACGAGGAACAAUUGGAGGGCAAGUCUGGUGCCAGCAGCCGCGGUAAUUCCAGCUCCAAUAGCGUAUAUUAAAGUUGUUGCCGUUAAAAAGCUCGUAGUUGAACCUUGGACCUGGCUGAUCUGUCCUCCUAAUCGAGCGCACGGAUUCGGUCGGGUCUUUCCUUCUGGGGAGCCCUAUGCCCUUCACUGGGUGUAGUGGGGAACCAGGACUUUUACCUUGAAAAAAUUAGAGUGUUCAAAGCAGGCCUUUGCUCGAAUACAUUAGCAUGGAAUAAUAGAAUAGGACAUCGGUUCUAUUUUGUUGGUUUCUAGGACCGCUGUAAUGAUUAAUAGGGAUAGUCGGGGGCGUCAGUAUUCAAUUGUCAGAGGUGAAAUUCUUGGAUUUAUUGAAGACUAACUACUGCGAAAGCAUUCGCCAAGGAUGUUUUCAUUAAUCAGUGAACGAAAGUUAGGGGAUCGAAGACGAUCAGAUACCGUCGUAGUCUUAACCAUAAACUAUGCCGACUAGGGAUCGGACGGUGGUUUUUUUAUGCCCCGUUCGGCACCUUACGAGAAAUCAAAGUUUUUGGGCUCGGGGGGGAGUAUGGUCGCAAGGCUGAAACUUAAAGAAAUUGACGGAAGGGCACCACCAGGCGUAAACUCAACAGUUUCAUACUACAAGCCGUAGUUAACUCUGCGCCAGCCGCCUGAAAAGGUCGGUGUGUGUCGUCGUUAAAGGCUAGUCCGGGGGACUUUACCGUCCCCUGGGCAACAUCCUCAAAUUGACGGGAAAGUCCUAAAGUCCUCGACACCAAGCCAGCCACCGAGAGGUGCUGGUGGCCCGGGAGAAAGACCUGGGGUACGGUAACAGAACGAGGAAUUUUGCAAUGGAUCAUCCGCAGCCAAGCACCCCACCUCCUCCGGGAGAGGGUGAAGGUUCAACGACUAAACGGGGAUGGGUGCUCGAUUACGUGACAAGAUCCCACCGUCACCGUAACGUGCGUGCUUAAGAUAUAGUCUAAUCCCCGGGGAAACUCGGGGUACUUAUAACUACCUA